RNAcentral lists this ribosomal RNA (456 nucleotides) under uncultured organism. RNAcentral describes it as "partial 16S ribosomal RNA". It matches the Rfam family "Bacterial small subunit ribosomal RNA", at positions 332 to 805 of the family's 1533-position model. The record is from RNAcentral.
UACACUCCUGCGGGAGGCAGCAGUGGGGAAUUUUACGCAAUGGGGGAAACCCUGACGUAGCGACACCGCGUGAGCGAAGAAGCCCUUUGGGGUGUAAAGCUCUGUCAGCUGGAACGAAAACAAUGACGGUACCAGCAGAGGAAGCAUCGGCUAACUACGUGCCAGCAGCCGCGGUAAGACGUAGGAUGCGAGCGUUGUCCGGAUUUAUUGGGCGUAAAGAGUUCGUAGGUGGUUUGUUAAGUUUGGUGUUAAAGAUCGGGGCUCAACCCUGGGACUGCACUGAAUACUGGCAGACUCGAGUGUGGUAGAGGCUAGUGGAAUUCCCAGUGUAGCGGUGAAAUGCGUAGAUAUUGGGAAGAACACCGGUGGCGUAGGCGACUAGCUGGGCCAUAACUGACGCUGAGGAACGAAAGCCAGGGGAGCGAAUGGGAUUAGAAACCCCGGUAGUCCCAUGAU